RNAcentral lists this transfer RNA (72 nucleotides) under Planctomycetota bacterium. Its description in RNAcentral is "Planctomycetes bacterium (marine metagenome) tRNA-Thr". It matches the Rfam family "tRNA". From Rfam's summary of the family: Transfer RNA (tRNA) molecules are approximately 80 nucleotides in length. Their secondary structure includes four short double-helical elements and three loops (D, anti-codon, and T loops). The record is from RNAcentral. Lineage: Bacteria; Pseudomonadati; Planctomycetota.
GCACUGGUCGUUCAGCGGCAAGGACACCGCAUUCGUAAUGCGGGAACGUGGGUUCGAGUCCCACCCGGUGCU